RNAcentral lists this ribosomal RNA (497 nucleotides) under uncultured bacterium. Its description in RNAcentral is "partial 16S ribosomal RNA". It matches the Rfam family "Bacterial small subunit ribosomal RNA", at positions 28 to 507 of the family's 1533-position model. The record is from RNAcentral.
GAUGAACGCUGGCGGCGUGCCUAAUACAUGCAAGUCGAGCGAACAGACGAGGAGCUUGCUCCUCUGUCGUUAGCGGCGGACGGGUGAGUAACACGUGGAUAACCUACCUAUAAGACUGGGAUAACUUCGGGAAACCGGAGCUAAUACCGGAUAAUAUAUUGAACCGCAUGGUUCAAUAGUGAAAGACGGUUUUGCUGUCACUUAUAGAUGGAUCCGCGCCGCAUUAGCUAGUUGGUAAGGUAACGGCUUACCAAGGCAACGAUGCGUAGCCGACCUGAGAGGGUGAUCGGCCACACUGGAACUGAGACACGGUCCAGACUCCUACGGGAGGCAGCAGUAGGGAAUCUUCCGCAAUGGGCGAAAGCAUGACGGAGCAACGCCGCGUGAGUGAUGAAGGUCUUCGGAUCGUAAAACUCUGUUAUUAGGGAAGAACAAAUGUGUAAGUAACUAUGCACGUCUUGACGGUACCUAAUCAGAAAGCCACGGCUAACUACGUG